AUGAUGACCCUGGCAUUGCUAACGCUUCUGCUGAUCAUGAAUGGUUCUGCAGUGGGAAAAAUGAUGAAAUCUAAUGAGAUGGCCUUUGUUGGACAGGAUGUACUUUUAUCAUUCAACUGUUCUAAUGACCCAAAAGAACUGAUAUGGCUGAAAGAUCAGAGAGUAGUGAAUGUUCAUUCGGAAGACAAUAUCAGCAUUGAUGAUUCCUACAUAGAUAGGACGCAACUCUUCCAAAACAAGGAGAAGAGAAACUGCUCCCUGCUGCUCCGCAACGUCUCUUCAACAGAUGCAGGGCUGUACACCUCUCAUGCCUUACUCAGUGUUGGUAACAAUGUCUGGUCAAGGAGGUCAUUAGAAAUUAAUCUAACAGUGUCUGAAAAUAUAAUACCAACACAUUUUCCAGAGUUGGACGAGGGGGUCCACAGACUCCGCAUAUGUUUAGUCAAAUAAAUUAAUAAAUGUAGCUUUUUUGUGAUGUCUCCUCA
Molecule: long non-coding RNA, 485 nt
Organism: Cyprinus carpio (common carp)
Lineage: Eukaryota; Metazoa; Chordata; Actinopteri; Cypriniformes; Cyprinidae
Source: Ensembl